AGCUGUGGUAGCUCACCCACACUGCAAUCCAUCUGCUGACUCAACUUGCUAGUAUCGGGCAGCAGCCAGGACCACAGCUCCUCCAGCUCCUUUGUGACCUUUUCCUUCAGCUUCUUCAAAUACUGGGUUAGACACCUGCCUGGAAUAUAGUGAGUGUUAGGAUAAAGUAAACAUAGACCAGAGGAAGAAGUCAAAUACGCAUUUGCCUCAGGUGAGUAGAGGGAUGACUUCUAGUUCUAUAUUUGUCCUGUACCUGUGAAGAUAAGCUGUUGAUUUAUAUUCUCAGGGUGAAAUUCAGUACAACUUCAUUUUACAGUAAGGAUCUUGGGGCCCGCAGGAGAUUUUCUGUGAGAAAAUUGUAAGAGAGGGCCCCUGAGAAGGUAUGUGCCUUCUAUCUUUGCAGUUAUCUAUUUAGGAACAAAAUGGGAAGCAGUUGUGUGUGACGCAGUUCCCAAGCUUAACUUUUCCCUUUGGCAUCGUGAGUUGGGGGUCCUGAGAUUUUAUUUUACUUUCACAACUGGAACAGAUUUUAAAAACUUUAAAAAACAAAAAUAUGUCAGUGUCCAAAAAGUAUUAAUGCAUUACUUUUUCUUAUUUUUGUAUUGUUUAUUUUAUUUUUUAACAUUUUUAUUGACAUGAAUAUAUAGGCCAUUUUCAUUAUUUGUUUGAUUUCAUGACUAUUACCAAAAAAAUUUUGUCAUAUAGAGGAGGGAAGUAUUAAAAAGGGAUCUCUGACAUACACUUGGUAUAGGGUCCUGGUACCAAUUGUGAAAAGUAAACCCUUUCUUAUAAUCCAAAGUCACUUGGCAAAGUUUCUUCAUCUCAGGUGUCCAUUUUCUACUCACAAGGUGGUUAAACAAAAAAAGUAUAGAAAUUGGGAUCUAUCAGCAGACCUGUCCAGUUUCUAACUUGGUAAACUCUAAUUAAAUUACAGUGUUAAGCUUUACUUUUUUUUCAAAAGAAUUAGAGAAAAUGCAACUUAGAACAAUGGGCUUCAAACUAGAAUGUGCCUAUGUCUGAGUGUUCUCCUGCACAGAGAAUUUUAAGGAAAUAAAUGUUUCCAUCCUCUUUUUACAAUGGUUCUUCUCCCAUAUAUAGAAAAGUAUUAACUUGUCACCCAUCACAAAUCUUAACACAGAAUGCAUACUGGUGUGUAACAACCUCAGGGCUCCUAACAUAGGAAUACAAAUUGUAUUUUGCUUCAGGGGAAGACUCCUUUAAAAAUUAAUCAAAGCUCCUAAAAUCUUGUCUUGGCUUGUCAUACACAUAUUUGUAGCUAGAGUGAAGUUCUGCGUUAGACACAGGGUAUUUGGCCCUUGCUUAAGACUGAAUUGACAAAGUCUUAAGUAGAAUAAUGAAAGUUGUUAUUUUAAAUGUAACUAGACUAUUUGUUAAGGCUUCCACAUUUUGGGUUAUUUGAAUAUAAUCCACAGAUAAAAAUUUAAAUGAUUUCUACUGGUGUAUUUUAGUCAAUAAAGCAGUUAAAAUUUCAUGAAAAUAUAUGAAAUGUUUAUUCCUAUUACAGUAAAUCCUUAUCCUAUUUUAUCUCAUAAAUAUAAUGAUAUAUAAUACUUAUGUUUGUGAUAAUAUAAUUUGAUAUAAAAUACAAUAUUUUUCACCUCCUAAAAAUAAUAAAUAAAUAUACUUAGGGUUAUGGCUAAAAAUGUAGACAUAUGCAAGUUAAAUACACAGUUUUUCAAAUUUUUUAUAUAGCACAUUAACUAAAAUAUUUGAAGAUCAUUGGCUCUGAGAACUAGAAAAUAGCUUGAGUACUUUUCCUGAUCUGUCAUUAAUUUGCUGAGCAAUGCUGAGUAUAAUGUUUAAAGUGGGAAUCCAAAUUAUCUUUCUGUAAAAUUAUACUUUGGGAGCUGGAGAUACCUUUCAUGCCUGUAAACUGAUAUUGUCUUAAUUUUUUGUUCCCUAAGGAAGAAUAAUUUUCUUAUAAUUAAGAAUUUUCCUGUUCUAUCAUUAUAGCCUCUAAAAUAUUAAAUCUUCUUUUGUUGGUCUGGAUACUUAUAUCUAACUGAACUAGGAUAUAUUAUCUUUUUUUCAAUGUCAUCUAACACAAAAGCUGUAAUCAUUGAUUUGAGAUUUGAGCUAUGCAAAAUGGAUUAGGUUUCCAUACCCAAAAUUAUAAAAGUACUUAGAUCAUAGGCUAUUAAGUAUUUUUAGACUUCUUUUUCUUUUUAAUUUAGCUGUUUACAGUUACAACUUUCCCUAUAAGCACUGUUUUAGCUGCAUCUCAAAAGUUUGGUAUGUUGUGUCUUCAUUUUCAUUCAUCUCAAAGUAUUUUCUAUUUUUUUUGUGAUUUCUUCUUUGACUUCUUUGUUAUUUAGGUGUGCAUUGUUUAAUAUUUACAUAUUUGUGAAUAUCCCAAAUUAAUUUUGAUUAUUGACCUCUAAUUUUAUUCUAUUGUGAUUGAUAAACAUAUUUGAAUAAUUUAAAAUAUUUUCCACCUACUUUACCUUGUAUAUGGCCUUGUAUAUGGUCCAUUCUAAGAGAAUGUGCCAUGUGCACAUGAGAAGAAUGCAUAUUUUGCUAUUGUUGAGUAGAGUGUUCUAAGGAUGUUUGCAAAGUCUAGUAGGUUUAUAAAGAUGUUUAAGUCUUCUGUGUCUUCUAUUUCCUUGUUUAUUCUCUGUCAAGUUGUUCUAUUGAUUACUAAAAGUGGGGUAUUGAAAAAUCUAACUAUAUAGGUUAACUUAUAUCUCCUGAUAGAUUGAUCAUUUAUUCAACAUAAAAUGACAAUUUUUUAUAUCAGGUAACAUAUAUUACUUUAAAGUCUAUGUUGUCUGAGAUUAGGAUAUCUACUCUAGCUUUCUGAAGGUUGACAUACCUUUUUCCAUUCUUUUACUUUUAACCCAUUUGCAUCUUCAAAUCUAAAUUGUGUCUCCUGCACACAACAUAUAGCUGGAUCUUUCUAAAAAAAUCCAUUCUGAUAACCUUUGCCUUUCAAUUGGAUUGUCUAAUCCAUUCUAAUUUAAUUUCAUUAGUAAUAUAGUUAGAUUUGCAUCUGCCGUUUUACUUUUUGUUUUCUCUAUGUCUUAUGCCUUUUGUCCUAAGUAUACCUUGGCUUGUGGCAAAACCUUAUCAAUUUCUGCUUCUAUUUCACAUGAAUUUUCCCUGCUGUAUCUCUGUGUGUUCUCUCUUCUCCUUAUAAGAACUUCAGUCAUUGGAUUUAGGGCUCAUCCUAGUGCAGUAUAACCUCAACUUAUGUAAUUAUAUUUGUAAUGACCCAAUUUUAAAAUAUGAUCAUUCUGAGGUUCCAGUAGACUUGAAUUUGAGGAGAUACUAUUUAAAUGUUUCUUUUUUAAAAGAAAAGUUUGCCUUUUAAGAUAAAUAUUUUUUCACCAGUUAUGGUUGGUUUUGAAGGGGAUAGAGUUUAUGGACUUCCUCACUUUGCCAUUCUGGAAGUAAUAUCUACAUUUUAUUUCAGUCAAGGAUAACUGCAACCAAUCUCUGUUUUUGUUAGAACACAUGCUACUUAAAACAGUAUGAAGCAAUAGUAUUGAAAAUCAUUUUUUGGGGGGAAAGGAUUGAUUUGUUUCGACUGUUAGGACCCUUGAUACAUAUCUUGAGUUCUUGAAAUAUUGACAAUCAUACAAACGGGCUAUAACAUCUAUUAUAUAUUGAACACCUGUUCUAGAAGUCCCCCAGGAAUGAAACACAAUGGAGUACUUAUUACCUUAUCUAAUGUAACAACAAAUAUGUGAAGUAGAUGAUAUUAUCUCAUUUUAUAAAUAUGAAAAUUAACACUAAGAAGGCUGAGUGACUUCCCUAAUAGCUAAGUGGUGAGUCUUAAGAAGCCCUCCCUUCCUCAGCAAAAAUCCUAUGUAUGGUAUUUCAUGCUUCACCACAGGCAAUUACAAAGCAUUGUCUGGAAGCCUAGUGGUGGAAAGUUGUCCUCCUCUUAGCAGAUUUGGUGUACAGUCAAUGGACUGCAGGUUUCUGGAAUGAGUUGCAGUCAAGGACUCAAGACACUGGCAGUAGAGCAUUGAAUCAAGUGUAACCCUUUUCUAAGCUCAGGGCUCUUUGCAGCCGCACUGAUCACAGACCCGUGGAGCUGGCCUUGCCUCUACUACAUUAAGUAGCUCAUCAUAUGUACACCAGAACAUUUUAUAUCGUUAUGUGUUUGCAAAGUAGUUCCCUCUUCCAUUUCUUCUUCAUCUCCACUUAGAAAGCUGUAAUCAUCUUUUAAUACCCAGAUUUCCAUAACACCCAAGAUGGAGACUAUUAAUCUGUUCUGUGGGAUUUCAGAGCCCUUGCACAUUGUUUUAUUUUGUUGUGCAAUUACCAUAUUGCACUAUGAUUGUUGAUGUUUCUCUUUUCUGCUAAUUAAUGAACUUCUAAUAUGCAGGGAUCAAGACUUUACAUCUGGCUGGGCACAGUGGCUCACAUCUAUAAUUUCAGCACUUUGGGAGGCUGAGGCAGGUGGAUCGCUUCAGCCUAGGAGUUUGAGAAUAGUCUGGGCAAUGUAGUGAAACCCCCAUCUCUUUUACAUCUAUUUAAUGAUAGGAUUUGGGAUGUUACCUAGAAUAUGAUUGUGGAAGGAAGGAAGAAAAGAUGGAAAAUAAGUGAAAGAAGAAAUUAAUGAAUUCUUUGCUCCCUUAAAUUUGUGCUUUUGAGUGCAAUUUAAGUGCAAUUUAAUUCAGUGGUUUUACAUAUGAUAAGUUCCACAUGAGAAAACUCUUUGUCAGUCAUCCAAGAAAGAUUAUACUAGCAAAUUUAUAGGAACUAAUUAUUUUUAAAAAAGUAAUUUUUACCUGUUCAAAUUACAAAAUGUCACAGCUGGGAACUCCAUCUUUUCCACAUAUUGAACCUCAAUGGACGUUGUGGUUGGCCAUGUGAAGUAGUUGAGCAAGCGAAUGUAGAUCUGCCAUGUCACAAGUGAGACUGAGCCCAGAACCACCACCAACCAGAGCACCCUGCGAAUUUUGCUCCGGUUCUGAACAAUAUUGUGUAUCCCAUGAAAGGAAGUGGAGAUGGCAAAGUCAUGGUCAAACUUCUUUCGCUCAGUGGGAGAUGGCAGUGGUUUCUUUGAAAGGCAAAGCUUUAUCUUUUCUAAGAGUCCUUAAGGUUUUGCCCAUAAAAUGAUUAAACAAAAAAAAGUAAUUAGGAAACCUUAAUGCUAUCCGUAAAAAAACACAACUCACAUAAUUUAAAGAGGUGACUCUUUUUACUUGUAAUUCAUAGAAACUAAAAAUUCAUCUUUUGUUGCAUGAUUUAUUCAGGAAUCAAGAAGUGUAAGUGUUGGCUACAUGGGUUUAUUGAGAAGAUGCUAAUGCUAUUCAUAGAACGGCUAUUAUUAAUGUAAAUGUGUUAGUGGUAUGGUAUUAAUAGGUGACUUCCAGCUUUAAAACCAAGUUGGUUACAACAAUUCAUAAACUUUAAAUAUUAACUCUUAUUUUUAAAAUGCUCUUUCUCUCUGAAAGUCCUUUAGAAGUCAUGAACAAAAUGAGGCUGAUUCCUCUGACAGUCCUAAGUAUGGCUAAAAGUAAUCUGUUCUUAACUAAUGUUUGUCCUAUGGUGGUAUAAUUUAUGGUAAAUGUAACUUUCAUUCUCGUAUUCUUUAAUGUACAACUAUUUUAUAUUUUGUUGGUUGUUUAGUCAGAAUGUUCAGUGUUCAGUUGUAGUAUUAGUUAAGUAAUCUAUUUUCUACCUCUUCAUGGAAUUAAUUCAUCAUUUCAAGUCUAUCAGGAAUCAAUCAAUAAUAUUUAUUGAUAUUCAUUGGUAAGAACCAGGGAAGGUAACACUAAAUUUUUUUGGCAAUAUAUGAUAUGUUGACAAUUUUAUUUUGGUUAAAUUUCUUUCCAUUUGUUCAUAGGAGAAGAGGCAAUGAAUCCCUUUGUGGAGGGAAAGGUUCAAUAUAGUUAAGAGCAUGAGAUGGGCUUCACAAUGGAAGAUCAGGCUUCCGGUCCAUUCCUCGCCUCUUAUAACCUGCACAACUUUAGCCAAGUUUCUUAGUCUUAUACCUUUUCUGUCAAAUGGCAGCAAUGGUAUCUGCCUUAUGAAUUUGUUGUAUUAAAUUUGUUGAUAAUACCUGGAGAGAGCUUAGCACAUUAUCUAGAUCAUAAUAAGUACUCAAGGGUAUUAGCUAUUUUUAUUAUUCUGCUAAUGUAGUGGUGAUGUGGUAAAUAGUAAAAUAUUCAGGAAUUUUAAAAAGCUUUAAAAGUAUCUUAAAAAAUUAGUUCUUAAUGGCUUUAUAUAUGUUCAUAAUUAGGUGAAUUAACUUUUAUAUCCUUUGCCAAAAUAAUACUUUUGGAAUAUAGGUAUUCAACUAUCCAGCAUUAAUUUACUUACAAGAUGUUUCAAGCUUCAUUUACUAUUAAAUCAUUAUUUAAUACAACAUAAAUAACCAAUCAAUUAGCUAAGCUUUUUAUUCAGUUAUAGGACAUAUGCUAUAAAAAGGUGUCUAUUAACAUUUUCUAAGGGAGUCCAUUUCAUUCACUUACAAAUUAUAUUAUUAUUAUUUUACAAAUUAUAUUAUGAUUAUUAUUCACUAAGCAGGAUAGCUUGUAUUAAUAUGAUUAGCUUGAAGUUGGACUAAAAUCUUAGAAUAGCACCGUUAUUAAUGUUGUUUUUAGUAUAAAAUUAAUGAACAUGUAUCAAGUAACUGGCAUAAUCCCAGAGAAAAAUCAGAAACAAGAAAAAAGUUAUUGUUACUAAUUAGCAAAAUAUAUUUAAAUAUGCUCUUUUGUGUAUUCUUUAGUCAUGACUUGCAAACAUAUGCGAAGAAUUUACUCUGAUAAAAGAACAACUCAGUCUCUGGAUAACUUGUACCAUUCCUAGAAUAGGGAUCAAAACUAUUAGAAGGGGAAGACUAAUGUAGUAACUAGUUACUGACAAGCAAAGUGUGGCUAGUUGCAAGCAUUACCCCAAAACAUUUAACUUUCAAGUUUGCCUGUCAAAAAUCAGCCCAUUUAAUAUACAUCUAAUCCUUGACAAUUGGUUUGGCCUUUCUGGAGUAAUACCAACUAUUUUCUAGUGUUUUAAUAGAGUUUUUUUUAUUAUUGUUUUAGGUAAAUGUAUGACUGUCAGGAAGAUUAAAAUUGGUUGAAUAAAUGGCCCACUAGUUUGCAAAGCAGAAACUUCUUACUCUCCUGACUGGAGUAUAUACAGUGUCAUUAUGACAACUAGACCUUGCAUUGAGUGCUGAUCAACAUAGAAGCAUUUUGAGGAACAUCAAAUCAGCUUUGUUACAUUUAAAAAAUAAAACCUGCAGGCCCAGGAUAAAUAGAAACCAAAAGAAAUAAAACAAAACAAAGAAACAAAAUCAGAUUCUGGCAUAUAGUAAUAUUUUAAAACUAUUUUUGAGUCCCUCAUACAAAUAACUUUUUUUCUAAGUAAAACUAUUCAUUUUUAAAACUUAUAUUACUUAUAUUGUGUUCAAGUAACAUUGGAAAUCAAAUUUCCCAAAUGAAGAAAAAAAAUCUCUCUUUUCUUACUUCUGGCCUCUAGAAAUGAAAAAUAUUACUGCUCUGAGGAGUUCACUCUUUACUCACCGUUCUCAGCAUAUACUUUUGAUUUUUCUGUCUGCUCCAUUUGUGAUUUCAGUUAAGCAAGAGUCCUCAGGGUAACCCAAUUUUCAUCAAUAACAGUAUUCAUUUUGUGCCCUUUAUAUAAAAUACAGCAGUUGAGGUUGUAAAACAUGGAAGCAAUUUAAAUGUUUGUGUUGCUAUGUUUUGCCUCAUAAAGCACAUAAUCUGAAAACCAAAAAUGUUGACAGAACCAGGUAUGGGCAUUUAUGGACUGAUGAGAAGCUAACCCAGAGUGAUUUCAUGAGUGAAAAGCAAAAAGUAUCAUUAGGAAACCAUUUUCUCACAGUUAAAGGGACACUUCCUAUCAAAUAUGUGUAGUUAAGCAGCAGCCCCUGACCAGGCUAGUUGACACUCCAAUGACUCACCCGGGAACGUCUUCUUAGCUUUUCUUUUUACCUUUGUCUUUAUUCAACUUCAAAUCAAAACGCAGCUGGAAUAAAUUUUUUUUUAUGGGAAAGGUGUCUUCCCUUGUCGGUGUUUCUUUCUUAGUAACAGAAGCUGUUUCUAACAGAAAUAAUAGCCAAUAAACAUGACAAAAUAAAACACCAAAAAAUAUCUGCUCAAGAAUAAAUGAUUACUGAAAACAAACAACUUACUAAAACAUAAAGUCUGAUUAUUUUUUAUAUGAACACUUUUGGAAAAUUGUUAGAAUUUAUUAUAUUGAAUAAUAAAUGGAAGAAUGUGCA
This is a long non-coding RNA of Homo sapiens (human), 8221 nucleotides long. RefSeq lists it as uncharacterized. The record is from RefSeq and is a predicted model, not a curated record. Lineage: Eukaryota; Metazoa; Chordata; Mammalia; Primates; Hominidae. The transcript has 3 exons.